GUAGGUGGCAAGCGUUGUCCGGAAUUAUUGGGCGUAAAGCGCGCGCAGGCGGUUCUUUAAGUCUGAUGUGAAAGCCCACGGCUCAACCGUGGAGGGUCAUUGGAAACUGGAGAACUUGAGUACAGAAGAGGAAAGCGGAAUUCCACGUGUAGCGGUGAAAUGCGUAGAGAUGUGGAGGAACACCAGCGGCGAAGGCGGCUUUCUGGUCUGUAACUGACGCUGAGGCGCGAAAGCGUGGGGAGCAAACAGGAUUAGAUACCCUGGUAGUCCACGCCGUAAACGAUGAGUGCUAAGUGUUAGGGGGUUUUCCGCCCCCCUUAGUGCUGCGGCUAACGCAUUAAGCACUCCGCCUGGGGAUACGGCCGCAAGGCUG
RNAcentral lists this ribosomal RNA (373 nucleotides) under uncultured organism. RNAcentral describes it as "partial 16S ribosomal RNA". It matches the Rfam family "Bacterial small subunit ribosomal RNA", at positions 527 to 896 of the family's 1533-position model. The record is from RNAcentral.